GACAGAGGGGGCGAGCGUUAUCCGGAGUCACUGGGCGUAAAGCGCGCGCAGGCUGCAACCUAAGUGUCGUGUGAAAGCCCCCGGCUCAACCGGGGGAGGCCAUGGCAAACUGGGUCGCUCGAGCUGCGGAGAGGCCCCUCGAAUUGCCGGUGUAGCGGUGAAAUGCGUAGAGAUCGGCAGGAAGACCAAGGGGGAAGCCAGGGGGCUGGCCGCAGGCUGACGCUGAGGCGCGACAGCGUGGGGAGCAAACCGG
Molecule: ribosomal RNA, 253 nt
Filed under: uncultured bacterium
Lineage: Bacteria
Description: partial 16S ribosomal RNA
Rfam family: Bacterial small subunit ribosomal RNA
Source: RNAcentral